CCUACGGGGGGCUGCAGUGGGGAAUAUUGGACAAUGGGGGGAACCCUGAUCCAGCCAUGCCGCGUGUGUGAAGAAGGCCCUCGGGUUGUAAAGCACUUUCAGUGAGGAAGAACGCCUGGUGGUUAAUACCCAUCAGGAAAGACAUCACUCACAGAAGAAGCACCGGCUAACUCCGUGCCAGCAGCCGCGGUAAUACGGAGGGUGCGAGCGUUAAUCGGAAUUACUGGGCGUAAAGCGCGCGUAGGUGGCUUGAUAAGCCGGUUGUGAAAGCCCCGGGCUCAACCUGGGAACGGCAUCCGGAACUGUCAAGCUAGAGUGCAGGAGAGGAAGGUAGAAUUCCCGGUGUAGAGGUGAAAUGCGUAGAGAUCGGGAGGAAUACCAGUGGCGAAGGCGGCCUACUGGACUGACACUGACACUGAGGUGCGAAAGCGUGGGUAGCAAACAGGAUUAGAUACCCGAGUAGUC
Molecule: ribosomal RNA, 465 nt
Filed under: Vreelandella stevensii
Lineage: Bacteria; Pseudomonadati; Pseudomonadota; Gammaproteobacteria; Oceanospirillales; Halomonadaceae
Description: partial 16S ribosomal RNA
Rfam family: Bacterial small subunit ribosomal RNA
Source: RNAcentral